AGAGUUUGAUCCUGGCUCAGGACGAACGCUGGCGGCGUGCCUAACACAUGCAAGUCGAACGGGGUAGAGAGCUUCGGCUUUCUACUUAGUGGCGAACGGGUGAGUAACGCGUGAGAAACCUGCCUUUCAGUGGGGGACAACAGUUGGAAACGACUGCUAAUACCGCAUAAUGUUAUUUGAGGGCAUCCUCGAAUAACCAAAGCUUUAUGUGCUGAAAGAUGGUCUCGCGUCUGAUUAGCUAGUUGGCGGGGUAACGGCCCACCAAGGCGACGAUCAGUAGCCGGUACUCGGGACUCAU
This 298-nucleotide ribosomal RNA is filed under the name uncultured bacterium. RNAcentral's name for it is "partial 16S ribosomal RNA". It matches the Rfam family "Bacterial small subunit ribosomal RNA", at positions 8 to 304 of the family's 1533-position model. The record is from RNAcentral.